GAAUAUUGUAAGUGCUCAAUAGUUCACUCUUGUUUUCACCAGCUGUUGCCCUUGCACGCACAUACAUUUUCAUAUAUUACUUUAAUAAUUUAUUUAGUAGGCUGUUUGUAUACAUAUUUGGAUUUUUCUACCCUGUUGUCAGAUAUUACCCCACUAGUGUGUCUAUACCUGAUCUCAGAGGUCAGGUUGUUUCCUUUCCAUUGAUGCUUCCUUACUCAUUUUAUUUUCCUUUUGAAUCCUCAUGAUACUUGGCAUUACUGGUUUAACAUCCAUCGUUUUUGCAAAAAGUCAUUUCCUUGAAAGCAAGGCCAUGACUAUCUUGCUCACUGUCAUAUCAUCAGCCUCUAACAAAAAGAGUGAUAGAUAGUAGGAAUUUAAGAAGUAUUUAAUGAAUGGAAUUGUUACUGAAAUUCAGUAUUUCCCUUGUAGAAUGUAACUGUCCCUGGGUUGAGUGACACAUUAAUUUAUGUUCCAUUAAAACUAUACAUUUUCUUUCUUUCUUUUUUUUCUUUUUUUUUUUUAGACAGAGUCUUGGUCUGUUGCCCAGGUUGGAGUGCAACGGCCCAGUCUUGGCUCACUGCAACCUCCGCCUCCUGGAUUCAAGUGAUUCUCCUGCCUCAGCCUCCUGAGUAGCUGCGAUUACAGGCGCCCACCACUGUGCCCGGCUAAUUUUUGUAUUUUUAGUAGAGAUGGGAUUUCACCAUGUUGGCCAGGCUGGUUUCAAACUCCUGACCUCAGGUGAUCCGCCUACCUCGGCAUCCCAAAGUUUUGGGAUUACAGGCAUGAGCCACUGUGCCCAGCCCAUAUUUUCAAACAAUAUCCUAGAAGUCAAUGGUGAACAAGAGACAUUCAACUGGCAGUGAGGAGUGAACAGUGAAGGAGACAAGGCCAACUUGUCGUACAUGCAAAGCACGAAUAAUGAGCAAAGAUAAAACACGUUUGAGAGCUAUGACAAAGAUACCAGAGGGUUACCUUUCCUCAGACUAAAAAUAUUCUGAACUGUUUUAUGCAAACUUUAACCUUUCCUGGAGAAGUGUUUAUAAAGGAAGUGUUGUUUGUGACCCUCAUUCAUGAUGAUUCUAUGAAUCAACAAAAUAUCUUCAGCAAUGGAA
Molecule: long non-coding RNA, 1112 nt
Filed under: Papio anubis (olive baboon)
Lineage: Eukaryota; Metazoa; Chordata; Mammalia; Primates; Cercopithecidae
Description: lncRNA (ENSPANG00000051115.1)
Source: RNAcentral